UACGUAGGGGGCAAGCGUUGUCCGGAAUCAUUGGGCGUAAAGCGCGUGUAGGCGGCUCGAUAAGUCUGCUGUGAAAGUCCAGGGCUCAACCCUGGGAUGCCGGUGGAUACUGUCGAGCUCGAGUCCGGAAGAGGAGUGUGGAAUUCCUGGUGUAGCGGUGAAAUGCGCAGAUAUCAGGAGGAACACCGAUAGCGAAGGCAGCACUCUGGUACGUGACUGACGCUGAGAAGCGAAAGCAUGGGGAGCGAACAGG
This 253-nucleotide ribosomal RNA is filed under the name uncultured bacterium. RNAcentral's name for it is "partial 16S ribosomal RNA". It matches the Rfam family "Bacterial small subunit ribosomal RNA", at positions 524 to 776 of the family's 1533-position model. The record is from RNAcentral.